UUCACAAAUAGCAGUGUUGUUUGUUUUUAUGGUGUGUGUGUGUGUCUAUUAUUGGGACUUGGGCCACGUAUUGGAGUGAGAUUGUGAUUGUGAGGCUUUGAUUUAGUAUUUUAGUUCCCUCCCUGGGCUGUCGAUCUGGGUCUUGACGACUCGUCAAACGCACUCCCUGGCAUCGUUUCCAGCCCCGGACUAAUUUCCAGAUCUGCUCGUUCAUGUUGUCAGCUGGAUCUUUCGGUUCUCGUAAGUAACCAAGAAACUGCAUCAAGCACCUGACCAUACGAAGGUGGUGGGAGAUUUAGACUGGACAGUCAAAUAGCUUAUUAGUCAAGUGGAAGACUGAAUGGGAUUGAGUGAAGAAGCUAUUAAGGAUCUGCAGAAGUGUUCACAAGCCACCUGGUCGCAAAUCAAAGAAGAUUGACAGAAGAUUUGUUCAAAUACAUUAACAACGUCGAAAGUAGCGUACUUCAAGAGAAAAUAUGCAGAAGAAGAAGAUUUGCAUAAAGUUUACAAUGGGUACUUUCCAAAAAACCUGAUCUUUCCAGAAGAUCGAACAUGUAUUCUAAGGCUUUCACUAGAAAAACUAAG
Molecule: long non-coding RNA, 585 nt
Organism: Hemiscyllium ocellatum (epaulette shark)
Lineage: Eukaryota; Metazoa; Chordata; Chondrichthyes; Orectolobiformes; Hemiscylliidae
Exons: 5
Source: RefSeq, a predicted model, not a curated record